AGGGGCAGCGGGGGUGCAGGCUUGCCUGCGCCUGCCGGCGACCGGCGCACGGGUGAGUAACACGUAUGGAACCUGCCCGCCACAGGGGGAUAACCCGGGGAAACCCGGCCUAAUACCCCAUGCCGUCCGGACCGGGCAUCCGGUCCGGGCGAAAGGAGGAAUCCGGUGGCGGCUGGGCAUGCGGCGCAUUAGCUUGACGGCGGGGUAACGGCCCACCGUGGCGACGAUGCGUAGGGGUUCUGAGAGGAAGGCCCCCCACACUGGAACUGAGACACGGUCCAGACUCCUACGGGAGGCAGCAGUGAGGAAUAUUGGUCAAUGGGCGGAAGCCUGAACCAGCCAAGUCGCGUGAGGGAAUAAGGCCCUACGGGUCGUAAACCUCUUUUGCCGGGGAGCAAGGGCCGGGACGCGUCCCGGCCCGGAGAGUACCCGGAGAAAAAGCAUCGGCUAACUCCGUGCCAGCAGCUGCGGUAAUACGGAGGAUGCGAGCGUUAUCCGGAUUUAUUGGGUUUAAAGGGUGCGUAGGCGGGCUUUUAAGUCAGCGGUAAAAAUUCGGGGCUCAACCCCGUCCGGCCGUUGAAACUGGGGGCCUUGAGUGGCGAGAAGAAGGCGGAAUGCGUGGUGUAGCGGUGAGAUGCAUAGAUAUCACGCAGAACCCCGAUUGCGAAGGCAGCCUUCCGGCGCCCUACUGACGCUGAGGCACGAAAGUGCGGGGAUCGAACAGGAUUAGAUACCCUGGUAGUCCGCACAGUAAACGAUGGAUGCCAGCUGU
This 772-nucleotide ribosomal RNA is filed under the name uncultured bacterium. RNAcentral describes it as "bacterial SSU rRNA". It matches the Rfam family "Bacterial small subunit ribosomal RNA", at positions 65 to 823 of the family's 1533-position model. The record is from RNAcentral.